GACGAACGCUGGCGGCGUGCCUAAUACAUGCAAGUAGAACGCUGAAGGAGGAGCUUGCUCUUCUGGAUGAGUUGCGAACGGGUGAGUAACGCGUAGGUAACCUGCCUGGUAGCGGGGGAUAACUAUUGGAAACGAUAGCUAAUACCGCAUAACAGUAGAUGUUGCAUGACAUUUACUUAAAAGGUGCAAUUGCAUCACUACCAGAUGGACCUGCGUUGUAUUAGCUAGUUGGUGGGGUAACGGCUCACCAAGGCGACGAUACAUAGCCGACCUGAGAAGGGGAUCGGCCACACUGGGACUGAGACACGGCCCAGACUCCUACGGGAGGCAGCAGUAGGGAAUCUUCGGCAAUGGACGGAAGUCUGACCGAGCAACGCCGCGUGAGUGAAGAAGGUUGUCGGAUCGUAAAGCUCUGUUGUAAGAGAAGAACGAGUGUGAGAGUGGAAAGUUCACACUGUGACGGUAUCUUACCAGAAAGGGACGGCUAACUACGUG
Molecule: ribosomal RNA, 495 nt
Filed under: uncultured bacterium
Lineage: Bacteria
Description: partial 16S ribosomal RNA
Rfam family: Bacterial small subunit ribosomal RNA
Source: RNAcentral